This is a long non-coding RNA of Heterocephalus glaber (naked mole-rat), 1158 nucleotides long. The record is from Ensembl. Lineage: Eukaryota; Metazoa; Chordata; Mammalia; Rodentia; Bathyergidae.
CUUCAAUAAAACUCUUUAAGACCCACAGACCUCACACAUGGGUAAUCCAAGAGGCAGCUAGUCAGAAGAGAACUAAGAAAGGAUGCAGCUGAGUACAACAGCAGGAUGUGUUCCUGCUGUUUUGAUUUGGGUCAUGUCACCCACGAGACACACUGUAAGGAUUUCUCCUGCACAGGAUUAGAAGACUGUCAGAGAGAAUUGAAUCUAGUCUUUCCCGUUCUUUUUAGAAUAAAUACACUUAAGCUUUAGAAACAGAGUCCAUUUAAAUUAAAUUAUUAAAUAAGUAAUAGUGUGUAGGAGGUACCCCAACAACAGGAAGACUGUGAAAGUGGCCAGAAUCUAAAAGACGCUGCUGGGAAUCAUUGAUAGAGGUCGUACUUCUUCAGCACAGAUGGGGAAACUGCAUCACCAAUCAGACAGUGUCCCCCAAGUGUCCAAAGCUAGCUAUCAAGCUAGUGACAGCUCUAGAUUUCCUCUCUGUUCUAGAUUUACUCCUCUGUUCUCUGGACCUCAGUUUUGGCAUCUGUCAAAUGGAUUGUUAUGAAACACAAGUAGCAUGAGACAUGUAGAACGGCUCUGAAUUCAGAAUACAGAGGCAACCUGCAGGUUCACUAGGAAGGUAAGCGGCCGAGGGCCCCACACAGAAGAUGGCCUGUUCCUGGUGGUGUUUAUAAAGGCCCCUCACAUUCCCUACCUUGUCGUCCUGGCUUCCCAGAGGGUCAGAGCCAAGCUGACAUGCAGUUCAUGAGUCUGUUCAACUUGAGAUCAGAUGGACACAGAAACACAGGGGAAGCCAAAUCGCAUGUUUAAACAGUUAAGAGGAAACCAGACUCAGCAAGGAACUGCAACACUGGAUUUAGCUGGGUUCCUGCCAAUCACCAAAUUGCUCCAUAGGAAUUAAUUUUCCAGAAAGGGAAACCCAUGUUGGGGGUUGGGCCGAGCAGUUGAGAUGCGGAGGGGGGAUAAAGGAAUAGAGAGAAGUAAAGUCACAGAAAGAGAAGAAAAUAACUACGGUGGCACAGGCAGAGAGGAAGAACAAAGCAGCAAACAGAACAAAAAAAAAAAAAAGAAAGAAAGAAAAUUAAAAAAAGAAGAAGAAAAGAAAGGAAAUAAAACCAGAGAAAUUGCUCAGAUUUGUAACUCUGGACUGAUAGAAAC